RNAcentral lists this ribosomal RNA (468 nucleotides) under uncultured bacterium. RNAcentral's name for it is "partial 16S ribosomal RNA". It matches the Rfam family "Bacterial small subunit ribosomal RNA", at positions 28 to 507 of the family's 1533-position model. The record is from RNAcentral.
GACGAACGCUGGCGGCGUGCUUAACACAUGCAAGUCGAACGGAAAGGCCCUGCUUUUGUGGGGUGCUCGAGUGGCGAACGGGUGAGUAACACGUGAGUAACCUGCCCUUGACUUUGGGAUAACUUCAGGAAACUGGGGCUAAUACCGGAUAGGAGCUCCUGCUGCAUGGUGGGGGUUGGAAAGUUUCGGCGGUUGGGGAUGGACUCGCGGCUUAUCAGCUUGUUGGUGGGGUAGUGGCUUACCAAGGCUUUGACGGGUAGCCGGCCUGAGAGGGUGACCGGCCACAUUGGGAAUGAAAUAGGGCCCAAAAUCCUACGGGAGGCAGCAGUGGGGAAUAUUGCACAAUGGGCGGAAGACUGAUGCAGCAACGCCGCAUGCGGGAUGACGGCCUUAGGGUUGUAAACCGCUUUCGCCUGUGACGAAGCGUGAGUGACGGUAAUGGGUAAAGAAGCACCGGCUAACUACGUG